This 484-nucleotide ribosomal RNA is filed under the name uncultured bacterium. Its description in RNAcentral is "partial 16S ribosomal RNA". It matches the Rfam family "Bacterial small subunit ribosomal RNA", at positions 30 to 507 of the family's 1533-position model. The record is from RNAcentral.
AUUGAACGCUGGCGGCAGGCCUAACACAUGCAAGUCGAGCGGAUGAAGGGAGCUUGCUCCUGGAUUCAGCGGCGGACGGGUGAGUAAUGCCUAGGAAUCUGCCUGGUAGUGGGGGAUAACGUCCGGAAACGGGCGCUAAUACCGCAUACGUCCUGAGGGAGAAAGUGGGGGAGCUUCGGACCUCACGCUAUCAGAUGAGCCUAGGUCGGAUUAGCUAGUUGGUGGGGUAAAGGCCUACCAAGGCGACGAUCCGUAACUGGUCUGAGAGGAUGAUCAGUCACACUGGAACUGAGAAACGGUCCAGACUCCUACGGGAGGCAGCAGUGGGGAAUAUUGGACAAUGGGCGAAAGCCUGAUCCAGCCAUGCCGCGUGUGUGAAGAAGGUCUUCGGAUUGUAAAGCACUUUAAGUUGGGAGGAAGGGCAGUAAGUUAAUACCUUGCUGUUUUGACGUUACCAACAGAAUAAGCACCGGCUAACUUCGUG